UGGGGAAUUUUGGACAAUGGGCGAAAGCCUGAUCCAGCCAUGCCGCGUGAGUGAAGAAGGCCUUCGGGUUGUAAAGCUCUUUUAGUCGGAAAGAAAAGAUCAUAAUGAACAAUUAUGAUUCAUGACGGUACCGACAGAAAAAGCACCGGCUAACUACGUGCCAGCAGCCGCGGUAAUACGUAGGGUGCGAGCGUUAAUCGGAAUUACUGGGCGUAAAGGGUGCGCAGGCGGUUUUGUAAGUCAGAUGUGAAAUCCCCGGGCUUAACCUGGGAAUUGCGUUUGAAACUGCAAGACUAGAGUGCAGCAGAGGGGAGUGGAAUUCCAUGUGUAGCAGUGAAAUGCGUAGAGAUGUGGAAGAACACCGAUGGCGAAGGCAGCUCCCUGGGUUGACACUGACGCUCAUGCACGAAAGCGUGGGGAUCAAACA
Molecule: ribosomal RNA, 427 nt
Filed under: uncultured beta proteobacterium
Lineage: Bacteria; Pseudomonadati; Pseudomonadota; Betaproteobacteria
Description: bacterial SSU rRNA
Rfam family: Bacterial small subunit ribosomal RNA
Source: RNAcentral